Molecule: small RNA, 94 nt
Filed under: Flavobacterium haoranii
Lineage: Bacteria; Pseudomonadati; Bacteroidota; Flavobacteriia; Flavobacteriales; Flavobacteriaceae
Description: Flavobacterium sp. LQY-7 Flavo-1 RNA
Rfam family: Flavo-1 RNA
Source: Rfam by way of RNAcentral
AAUUAGCCCCUAUGGCAGCGGCAUCCUUUUUGUUUGUCACACUGAGCUUGUCGAAGUGCAAACUAAAAAGAUAUAGCGAACAGCGGGAAUUGCU